GAAAUCAUCCGGCCAGGCAGACCCUGCGGGAGAAUCAAGCCUUGUAAUUAGAUUGAAGCCUCCUAGGAAACGGAGCCCUGUUGCAGGAAAAGCGUUUGCAGAAGCUAAUUAGGGAAUUCUUUGACCCUUUGUAAGAAAAACAAAUUCCAAAUAAGCAGUUCCAUGGCUAAUUUGAUCUUAUCAACUUCUGUGGUAUGAAGUUAUGCUUUAAAAGGGAGGCACUUUACACAUGUUAACUAAUUAAUCCUUGGGUGGACCCUAAGGAGAAUGCAUUAUCAUCUUCAUUUUAUUGAUGAGGAAUCUGAAACGUAUCAAGGUUCACAUGACUUCUGAAGGAAAAUACCACAUCUUGACUUUUUUGUCCAUGAAUGCUUGGAAUGCCUCUGAGGUUUCUUCAGUAUUUCAUAUCACAUGAUUGUAUCAGUGAGUAGAGAAUUUAAAAACAUGUAAUCACUAACAACAC
Bos taurus (domestic cattle) is the source of this 463-nucleotide long non-coding RNA. The record is from Ensembl. NCBI's taxonomy places the organism in Eukaryota, Metazoa, Chordata, Mammalia, Artiodactyla, Bovidae.